This 245-nucleotide ribosomal RNA is filed under the name uncultured bacterium. RNAcentral describes it as "partial 16S ribosomal RNA". It matches the Rfam family "Bacterial small subunit ribosomal RNA", at positions 524 to 768 of the family's 1533-position model. The record is from RNAcentral.
UACGGAGGGUGCAAGCGUUAUUCGGAUUUACUGGGCGUAAAGGGCGCGUAGGCGGUUGAUCAAGUCAGAUGUGAAAGCCCGGGGCUCAACCCCGGAAGUGCAUCUGAAACUGGUCGGCUUGAGUAUGGUAGAGGGAAGUGGAAUUCCUGGUGUAGCGGUGAAAUGCGUAGAUAUCAGGAGGAACACCGGUGGCGAAGGCGACUUCCUGGACCAAAACUGACGCUGAGGCGCGAAGGUGUGGGGAG